UACGAAGGGGGCUAGCGUUGUUCGGAUUUACUGGGCGUAAAGCGCACGUAGGCGGAUUGUUAAGUCAGGAGUGAAAUCCUGGAGCUCAACUCCAGAACUGCCUUUGAUACUGGCAAUCUCGAGUCCGGAAGAGGUAAGUGGAACUCCUAGUGUAGAGGUGGAAUUCGUAGAUAUUAGGAAGAACACCAGUGGCGAAGGCGGCUUACUGGUCCGGAACUGACGCUGAGGUGCGAAAGCGUGGGGAGCAAACAGG
Molecule: ribosomal RNA, 253 nt
Filed under: uncultured bacterium
Lineage: Bacteria
Description: partial 16S ribosomal RNA
Rfam family: Bacterial small subunit ribosomal RNA
Source: RNAcentral